Molecule: small RNA, 43 nt
Filed under: Arabidopsis thaliana (thale cress)
Lineage: Eukaryota; Viridiplantae; Streptophyta; Magnoliopsida; Brassicales; Brassicaceae
Description: ATSL232900
Source: RNAcentral
UUGCUGUGAAGCGCACAAACAUUUUGUAUUCUUCGCUUAAUGA